This 481-nucleotide ribosomal RNA is filed under the name Fusarium avenaceum. RNAcentral describes it as "eukaryotic LSU rRNA". The stretch from base 110 to 263 matches the Rfam family "5.8S ribosomal RNA". The record is from RNAcentral. Lineage: Eukaryota; Fungi; Ascomycota; Sordariomycetes; Hypocreales; Nectriaceae.
UUGCCUCGGCGGAUCAGCCCGCGCCCCGUAAAACGGGACGGCCCGCCAGAGGACCCAAACUCUAAUGUUUCUUAUUGUAACUUCUGAGUAAAACAAACAAAUAAAUCAAAACUUUCAACAACGGAUCUCUUGGUUCUGGCAUCGAUGAAGAACGCAGCAAAAUGCGAUAAGUAAUGUGAAUUGCAGAAUUCAGUGAAUCAUCGAAUCUUUGAACGCACAUUGCGCCCGCUGGUAUUCCGGCGGGCAUGCCUGUUCGAGCGUCAUUUCAACCCUCAAGCCCCCGGGUUUGGUGUUGGGGAUCGGCUCUGCCUUCACUGGCGGUGCCGCCCCCGAAAUACAUUGGCGGUCUCGCUGCAGCCUCCAUUGCGUAGUAGCUAACACCUCGCAACUGGAACGCGGCGCGGCCAUGCCGUAAAACCCCAACUUCUGAAUGUUGACCUCGGAUCAGGUAGGAAUACCCGCUGAACUUAAGCAUAUCAAU